This 253-nucleotide ribosomal RNA is filed under the name uncultured bacterium. Its description in RNAcentral is "partial 16S ribosomal RNA". It matches the Rfam family "Bacterial small subunit ribosomal RNA", at positions 524 to 776 of the family's 1533-position model. The record is from RNAcentral.
UACGUAGGGGGCAAGCGUUGUCCGGAAUCAUUGGGCGUAAAGAGCGUGUAGGCGGCUCGAUAAGUCCGCUGUGAAAGUCCAGGGCUCAACCCUGGAAGGCCGGUGGAAACUGUCGGGCUAGAGUCCGGAAGAGGCGACUGGAAUUCCUGGUGUAGCGGUGAAAUGCGCAGAUAUCAGGAGGAACACCGGUGGCGAAGGCGGGUCUCUGGGCAACAACUGACGCUGAGGAGCGAAAGCGUGGGGAGCGAACAGG